This 253-nucleotide ribosomal RNA is filed under the name uncultured bacterium. RNAcentral's name for it is "partial 16S ribosomal RNA". It matches the Rfam family "Bacterial small subunit ribosomal RNA", at positions 524 to 776 of the family's 1533-position model. The record is from RNAcentral.
UACGUAGGCAGCGAGCGUUGUUCGGAAUUACUGGGCGUAAAGAGUGUGUAGGCGGUGCUCUAAGUUCGGUGUGAAAUCUCCUGGCUCAACUGGGAGGGUGCGCCGGAAACUGGAGUGCUUGAGCGUGGGAGAGGAAAGCGGAAUUCCUGGUGUAGCGGUGAAAUGCGUAGAUAUCAGGAGGAACACCUGUGGUGUAGACGGCUUUCUGGACCAUAGCUGACGCUGAGACACGAAAGCUGGGGGAGCAAACAGG